CCGGAGAUUCCUGUGCUGCUGUGGACAUGAUGAGAACUCUGAAGUUCAGUUCUCAGUUGAAAAAACAGCUCCAUCUCUUGGUGUCAGCACUGUGAGACCGUGGAGUCAUGGUGAAGAUGAAUGUAUUAUCAGCACAGUUUAGAACACUUGAAUCAAGAUUGAUAAAAACUAUAAGUGUAGCACUUAUACGAUAGAGGAUUGGCCCACUUGAAAUCAUUGUC
Carassius carassius (crucian carp) is the source of this 221-nucleotide long non-coding RNA. RefSeq lists it as uncharacterized. The transcript is spliced from 3 exons. The record is from RefSeq and is a predicted model, not a curated record. Lineage: Eukaryota; Metazoa; Chordata; Actinopteri; Cypriniformes; Cyprinidae.